Heterocephalus glaber (naked mole-rat) is the source of this 1187-nucleotide long non-coding RNA. RefSeq lists it as uncharacterized. NCBI's taxonomy places the organism in Eukaryota, Metazoa, Chordata, Mammalia, Rodentia, Bathyergidae. The record is from RefSeq and is a predicted model, not a curated record.
GAAGGAGGAAAAGGGCGAAAGGAAAUAUUCAAGACAUUGUUGCCUUGGGCUUCCUUUGAGGAUGGCUGGCUGCAGCUCCAGGCUGGACAGAGUCCCAGAAGCAACGGCUCACCCUUGCUUUCCUUCAAUUUAAAACAUUAAGGAAAUGCAAGUCACCAUGGAGACUCAGCUCUCUCACGGAGGAGCUCAUGGAGGCUCAGCUGUCUCAUGAAGGCUGCUCAAGAGGACAGACUGCACUUCUGAAGGAACAGGUUAUUUGUGCAUGCAAUGAAAAGCACUGUAGGAGGACCUGUGCGGCAGUUUGGUGAUGAAUUCCUGACGGCCCGGCAGCUCAGACUUGAAACCAGCCCACUGGAUUUCUCUGCAUUUAGCCAGGACCAGCCCAGAAUGUGUGCCUGUGGGUGCUCAGCUGGAUACAUGAAACAAAGAGGCCUUUAGCUGAAUUGGACAGAUUCCUCUGGAUUGGCAGAUCCCGUUGUGAUUAAGACCUCGCUCCCAGCUUGCUGAUCCUUCCCAAACUGACAACAAGCAAAUCAAAGAGCAAAACCCGAGGUCAUCUGAAUUCUUUGCUCCCCUGGUUUUUGCUCGCUCUGUCCGGAGCCAAGAGCCGGGACUGCGUGCACGGUUCGGUUCCCCUUAGUUCUCACUGGAAGCAGGAUUGCUGCUGCUGCCACUGCACAGCGCACGCCUGCGCGCCACGCCGUGUGCCCUGGACUCGUUUCAAGGGUGGGAAACUGAGGCACAUAGCCAGGGAGGGGUGGGCCUGGAAUGCACACCCAGGCAACGUGGCCCUGAAGCUCCUAAUGCGGCUCAACUCUGUUAGCGCCGGUCCUCCAGUGCUAAUAUCCCCCCAUUUGCUACUGACUGCUGCUCUUCCCCACAAGUGUGGCAAAGCCUAGGAAUGCGCAGUGCGCGGUGCUGGGCGUGGGAACAGGCGCUGUCUCUGCUGGCCGGAAGAUGAGUCCCCCUAACCAAGCGGAGGGUGCUCUGCCCGCAGCCUCGGACUCUCAGAGUCUGGCUGCACCCGGUGCACCUGCCCCGCUGCCCUCGCCCCAGGGCUGGUCUCUCCUCACAUCUCCCGGCUUCCAUUCUUGUCCCCCAAAGUCCAUUCAUAGCCCUCAUUCAGAGUAAGCAUCUUUUUUUUUUUAAAUCAUUUUAUUGGUACGUUUUAGGUAUACCAUAGGUAU